RNAcentral lists this ribosomal RNA (691 nucleotides) under Moniezia expansa (sheep tapeworm). RNAcentral's name for it is "SSU rRNA". It matches the Rfam family "Eukaryotic small subunit ribosomal RNA", at positions 174 to 759 of the family's 1831-position model. The record is from RNAcentral. Lineage: Eukaryota; Metazoa; Platyhelminthes; Cestoda; Cyclophyllidea; Anoplocephalidae.
AUGAUGCCCUGACCCUAUCCACUCGCUGGCUGGGGAAUGGGUGCACUUAUUAGAUCAGAAGCCAACCAGUGCAUGCGUUCGAGCCCUUUCCGGGGUGAGAUCGUGUGGGCUGUAGUACUUCUGGUGACUCUGGAUAAUUGUUACAGAUCGCAGUCGACCUUGAGUCGGCGACGGGUCCUUCAAAUGUCUGCCCUAUCAACUUUCGAUGGUAGGUGACCUGCCUACCAUGGUGAUAACGGGUAACGGGGAAUCAGGGUUCGAUUCCGGAGAGGGAGCCUGAGAAACGGCUACCACUUCCAAGGGAGGCAGCAGGCGCGCAAAUUACCCACUCCCAGUACGGGGAGGUGGUGACGAAAAAUACCGAUGCGGGACUCAUUUAAGAGGCUCCGUAAUCGGAAUGAGUGGACUCUAAAUCCUUUCACGAGGAUCAAUUGGAGGGCAAGUCUGGUGCCAGCAGCCGCGGUAACUCCAGCUCCAAUAGCGUAUAUUAAAGUUGCUGCAGUUAAAAAGCUCGUAGUUGGAUCUCGGUAGCAUUGUUGCCUGCAUAGUACUUAACCGUCAGUGUGUGCGUCGUAUUGUGUGCACGUGUGUGUGUGUGUGUGUGUGCGGUGCUCUGCUCGGCUUUGUCUACCUGCGUUGCCUACCUACUGCGCGUUUUCAUACGCCUGUGUAGUGUAAUGUUGGAAAUUUG